UGGGGAAUUGUUCGCAAUGGGCGCAAGCCUGACGACGCAACGCCGCGUGGAGGAUGAAGGUCUUCGGAUUGUAAACUCCUGUUGAUCGGGAAGAAUGGACUCCGGAUAAAUACUCCGGAGUAGUGACGGUACCGAUUGAGGAAGCCACGGCUAACUCUGUGCCAGCAGCCGCGGUAAUACAGAGGUGGCAAGCGUUGUUCGGAAUUACUGGGCGUAAAGGGCGCGUAGGCGGUCGCCUAAGUCGGACGUGAAAUCCCCAAGCUUAACUUGGGAACUGCGUCCGAUACUGGGUGACUUGAGUUCGGGAGAGGAAUGUGGAAUUCCAGGUGUAGCGGUGAAAUGCGUAGAUAUCUGGAGGAACACCGGUGGCGAAGGCGGCAUUCUGGACCGAAACUGACGCUGAGGCGCGAAAGCCAGGGGAGCAAACGGG
This 430-nucleotide ribosomal RNA is filed under the name uncultured bacterium. RNAcentral describes it as "bacterial SSU rRNA". It matches the Rfam family "Bacterial small subunit ribosomal RNA", at positions 355 to 776 of the family's 1533-position model. The record is from RNAcentral.